CUACGGGAGGCACCAGUAGGGAAUAUUGCACAAUGGGCGAAAGCCUGAUGCAGCAACGCCGCGUGUGCGAUGAAGGCCUUCGGGUCGUAAAGCACUUUUCGAGAGGAUGAGAAAGGACAGUACUCUCGGAAUAAGUCUCGGCUAACUACGUGCCAGCAGCCGCGGUAACACGUAGGAGGCAAGCGUUAUUCGGAUUUACUGGGCGUAAAGCGCGUGCAGGCGGUUUGGUAAGUUGGACGUGAAAGCUCCCGGCUCAACUGGGAGAGGUCGUUCAAGACUGCUAGACUAGAGAGCAGUAGAGGAAGGUGGAAUUCCCGGUGUAGUGGUGAAAUGCGUAGAUAUCGGGAGGAACACCAGUGGCGAAAGCGGCCUUCUGGACUGUUUCUGACGCUCAGACGCGAAAGCUAGGGUAGCAAACGGGAUUAGAUACCCGGGUAGUC
RNAcentral lists this ribosomal RNA (440 nucleotides) under uncultured bacterium. Its description in RNAcentral is "partial 16S ribosomal RNA". It matches the Rfam family "Bacterial small subunit ribosomal RNA", at positions 339 to 795 of the family's 1533-position model. The record is from RNAcentral.